GCCAGGCGCAGUGGCAUACUUCUGUAAUCCCAGAGGCUUGGGAGGCUGAGACAGGAGGAUCACAACUUUGAGGUCAGCCUCAGCAACAGCGAGGUGCUAAGCAUCUCAGUGAGAUCCUGUCUCUA
RNAcentral lists this small RNA (125 nucleotides) under Marmota monax (woodchuck). The record is from RNAcentral. Lineage: Eukaryota; Metazoa; Chordata; Mammalia; Rodentia; Sciuridae.